RNAcentral lists this ribosomal RNA (840 nucleotides) under uncultured Flavobacteriales bacterium. Its description in RNAcentral is "bacterial SSU rRNA". It matches the Rfam family "Bacterial small subunit ribosomal RNA", at positions 58 to 892 of the family's 1533-position model. Lineage: Bacteria; Pseudomonadati; Bacteroidota; Flavobacteriia; Flavobacteriales. The record is from RNAcentral.
CAAGUCGAGGGGCAGCAGGUCUGUAGCAAUACAGAUGCUGGCGACCGGCAAACGGGUGCGGAACACGUACACAACCUUCCUUUAAGUGGGGAAUAGCCCGGGGAAACCCGGAUUAAUACCCCGUAACAUAAUGAAGUGGCAUCACUUUAUUAUUAUAGCUCCGGCGCUUUAAGAUGGGUGUGCGACUGAUUAGGCAGUUGGCGGGGUAACGGCCCACCAAACCUACGAUCAGUAACUGGUGUGAGAGCACGACCAGUCACACGGGCACUGAGACACGGGCCCGACUCCUACGGGAGGCAGCAGUAAGGAAUAUUGGUCAAUGGACGCAAGUCUGAACCAGCCAUGCCGCGUGGAGGAUGAAGGUCCUCUGGAUUGUAAACUUCUUUUAUCUGGGAAGAAACCCAUAAAUUCUUUUGUGGUUGACGGUACCAGAUGAAUAAGCACCGGCUAACUCCGUGCCAGCAGCCGCGGUAAUACGGAGGGUGCAAGCGUUAUCCGGAUUCACUGGGUUUAAAGGGUGCGUAGGUGGAUUGGUAAGUCAGUGGUGAAAUCUCCAGGCUUAACUUGGAAACUGCCAUUGAUACUAUCAAUCUUGAAUACCGUGGAGGUCAGCGGAAUAUGUCAUGUAGCGGUGAAAUGCUUAGAUAUGACAUAGAACACCAAUUGCGAAGGCAGCUGGCUACACGAAUAUUGACACUGAUGCACGAAAGCGUGGUGAUCAAACAGGAUUAGAUACCCUGGUAGUCCACGCCCUAAACGAUGGAUACUCGACAUACGCGAUAUACUGUGUGUGUCUGAGCGAAAGCAUUAAGUAUCCCACCUGGGAAGUACGAUCGCAAG